CUCUCCCACCUUCCAUCUUUUAAGCUGUGACAGUGGAGCCAACGUGGUCCCCAGGAGUUUCUAGGGAAGAUCAUCCCUGGGAGCUUGCACCUGGUGCUUGUCCCCACAGACCAAGUGACAAGGGGGCCUGUGACCAAGCUGGGCAGCAGGUGGCAAAGGGGAGAGCUCUGGGGAGGCCUGGAGAUGGGCCCUCCAUCUUAAGUGCUCUGCAUGUCAGCUGCUGAUUUCGACUAUCCCAGUCCUUCUGACUUCCAGUGACAGAGGGGAUCUCACGGGGAGGUGGGCUCCCAGCAACCAGGGAGAGAUGACUGUCCCUUUAGUCGAUUCUCUCCUGUGUUUGAGUGAGCCAUUUAUUCCUUGCCCAGCAUCCUGACCCAUAUGGGUGGAAAAGCCUUUCUCAGGGAGAAGCUGGAAGCUCAUACAGUGCCUGAGAACGGGAGAGAUGGUGCCGCACAGCGAAGCCUCCAGAAGCCUGAGCACACACAGUGGGUGCCCAAUAACCUCUUUCGCUUUUAUGUCUGUAAAAGAAACUUUGCUCUUUUUUAACUUAACCCAUAUCCCAUUCCACUUCCCACGUGGAGCGUCUCAUGAUUGCAAGACUACCGAAGUAAUUAACAAUUUUCAAAUGCAGGCCUUGCUGAAGAGCUUCUGGAUAAGACCUUGGAAUCUGUACCCCCGAGGGCUCCGGAGCAGGACUCCAGCUGGGCGGUGUGAGACUUACUGUCCUGAUGUGGGUGGCAGUUUAGAAUAGGGACUGUUUCAUUUCAUUAACAGAGCAAAGCAUGCUGUCAGCAGGCAGCAAUAGCCACAGGACAAGAUGCAACCAAAUCAGAGUCUGAAACCUCCUGUCCCGGCCACAAGCAAGCUCUUCCCCCUUAGGAUUCUUCAGGAGAAAGCCAGUUGUGAGACAAGGAGAACCCCCUCGAAGAGGAAUUAUGUGGACGUCUAAAGUGUUCUAAGCAUUCAGCUGCCUUAAAACUACCCCAAACACUGUUUGCUACAAAGCAGAAUUCAGUGUCCAGAGGGGUGUCCUGGACUCCACCCAGGAGGUUUAGUUUUUGAAGAGCCUAAAGGAUUCCCAGCGUCUCUCUGGGGUGAGUGUGAGAGCCGGAUUCCAAAGGCUUAUAUUGCGCCUGGAUGUUUUAACACCCUGCUCAACGAGUAUUUAACAGAAAUAAAAGAUUGUUCAGCUGGAGUCGACGUAUCUGAGGCAAAACUUUCUUAAACCCCACUAAUGUACAACCUCAAUCCACAACUGGAUUCAAUUACUGCGUGGAAAGAAAGGCAUUUUCUCAUAAAGCUGCUCUGUUUCCGUGCCUGGCUGUGAGCUGGGUCAGCCAUGACAAAGACAAGCCUGUGCGUUGUUUUUGGUUGUUUUUCUUUUCAAGCUCUUCCACUGGUACUGCCAGGCCCCAAGCUGUUUGGAGCAGUUAUGUGGGGGCCAGUUUACUUGUCUUGGCUUUCGGCCUUUCUGUCCAGAGUUGAUGAUAGAAGAACAAGCUGGUGUCCUGCGUGCCCAGUGGAAUUGAGGGGCUACACUGCGGCAAUUGCACCACGGAACACAUAGAACUUUCCUCUUUGGAGGGGCGGAAGGAAUAGAGCAAGACUUUGCCUUUUGAAUAUAUCGGGAAGAGGAGAAGUGCUCAGAACCUGGGAAAAUCUGGAAUUUUCCAAGUCCUUUUCAAUGCUUAAAUCAGCUCUUGCAAGCACUAAGCCUCGCAGCUGGGGCAGCAGCCAUCCUCACCAUGUGCUGGUUCGGAGGCAGUUUCCUCUGAAAUGACUGUGUAAAUUCAGUUCAAUAAGAAGUAAGGGUCAGCUGAGACGAGCUAGUUGGUUGAAGGCAGUCACGCAAGGGGUGAACGAGAAGUUUUGCUUUUAAUAAAGGACAGCUGGUCAAAGUUGUGCUGUGGAAGAUAAAUGAAUUGGCAAGUAAAGACCAUCAUGCCUACUGGCAAGACAGGCUGGCAAGCAAUUUUUGAAAACCAAAGAACUUUAAGGCCAGCUGAACAGGAGAAAGCUUCACUGAACAUUUCGUGGCAGUGCAUUCAUUUGACCAACAUGAGCUGAGAGCCGGCACCGGGCUAGGAGGUCAAGAUGUGAUCAUGGAUGAGAUCCCUCGUGGACCAUCUAACCUGUGCAGACUGUUUCCUUAUUCCACUGGAACGAAGUAGUACUAGGCAGUGAUUAAUUCUGGAUGACCACAUCAAAGGAGCCAUGGAACCAUUUCCCAUUAAGGACAAAUUACUAAACACUUGGUAAAGGCAAUAAUAAUCUUUGUUUUAUUGUUCUGACCUUACAAAUGUUUUUAUUUUCCCACAUAUCCUUGUGUGGUUCAAUUAUGUUUAUCACAUAGAGCUAAAAGUUAGGUGAUUCUAAGUUCCCUCUGCUAUUGAAGGGAAUUGUUGUGUGACUACACAAACUAUUCUAUUCUUUGCAAGCUGGAAUAAAUCCUCUAGUGCCUUUCUUCAUGAGCUGAAGUCCAUCUAUCCUUAAAGCUUAAUAUGAGUUUUCCAUAUAUCUUUGUACGAAUUAGGAUUUCAUGCAAAUAAAGUAGCUUAAACAAUAAAGAGAAAUAUUGGCUUACGUAAUAGAAAAAUCCAGAGGUAGUCGGCUUCAGGUAAAGUUUGGUCCAGCAAACAAUGUCAUAGAGGAGAAAAGCGUUACAGAGAGUGUCAGAACAUUGAGUAAAAAAAAUAUAUUAGGUUAGUUUUCAAGAUUUUGUGAUGUUUUUUGUACUGGUCAGCUUUUUGAAAUUUAUAAUGUAUUGUGAUGUCUUUUCUUACUCUAAAUAAUUUAGUAUUCAUAAUUUUUAUUCUCUAAAGUGAUUUCUGCAAAAUUGUAUAAACUUGAAGCUUCACAAAACCUGGAUCUAUCCUUGCUGAAGAUAGGGUAGAAAGUUGCUCCCAGAAGAAAAUAUUUUAUGAAAAAGGGGGUGAAAGGACAUCUAAUGGUGAAAACAUGGCAUGGCCACUAAAGAUUUAAACCUGUUGGAACUUUCUUAGCUUUCAAUUCCGCCUGUGAGUCUGACAAAUGUUUUAUCGGUAAUGAAGCCAUUUAAAAGCAGGGACUAUCUGUUAACUUCUCUGAUUGUGCCUCCAGUGAUCAGCAAAGCAAUUUGUAUGUAAAAACGUUGAUUUACAAAUGCUUCUUUUCAGUACUGUGAUUCCAAAAUGAUUACACUUUCUUUUUACUUGAACAUACAGGAAAGUUGCAUGGAGGAGUCCAAGCUCCAUGGAGGAGUUAAAUCAUAAACUCAAAAGACCCUACCCAGAAAUAUGAUUACAACAACAGCAAAACACGUUUCUAGAAUAACACAAUGACCUAAGCCUUGGCCACGGACUCACUCAUUUCAUAUAAUUAUCUAUUGCCUAUGUCCCUGGUAUUUGUUGAAAUAGAACUUUAACGAACGUAAGAAAUCCUGCCUGAUGUAAGAUUGUUAUUAAUUUAAGAAGCAUUAAACAUAACUCAGCAUUCUCUAUCAUGCUUGAAGAGCAUAUGUUUAUUUUAAAGGUUGAUCCAGAAAAUGCAUUUUAGGAAAGAGUUAGUGUGAAAUUACUUGGGAGGAAAAUAUUUGAAUUAGACUGCUCACCCUGGCCUUUCCAGGAAAGGUUUGGGAUUCCUGUUGAAUUUUGCCAUUAAUUAAAAUUGAUUCUCAGUAUGAAAGCUCGUGGGGAUGAAUUUGGUCAGGUUUGUCUAGAGAUUGUUGUCAUUGGUCUGGAGAGGUGAAGAUCUUACUCCUGCAGACUCUGUGGCUUCUCUCAGAGCUCCUUCAUUUGGCUGUUAUGGGUGACACUUUGGUACAUCAAUAAGUAACCGUAUUUGGGGGCCGCUUGGGGUCUGCUGGAAACAAAUCCAAACAAACCAGCAUUUACCUUAUUUGUACUUUGCUGUUUGCCAAGUUACCUCUGUCAACACAGCAUCUUCAUUUGUAAAAACCAAGGGAUUGUUCCAGAAUGAUCUCUGAGGUCCAAGCAGCUGUGACAUUCUGUUAUUCUAGGAUCCCACUCUAAAUACUCUCAGGAAAAUGUUAAAAGGCUUGAUUAACAUGGGAAGUAGUUCCCUGGAACUCAGGAAUCAUCUUCAGCUUGCGAAUGUACUGACUUUAAACUUUUCUGGAAAUUUUCUGAGAACAAGUAGUGCUUUCCAAGAUUUCUUAGAAAGGAGGAGACUUUUCUUCCCCUUCGGCAGUUAGACCACCCUGCCUCAGAAACCAUCUUGGAUUGGGGAUAUUUGUAGAAGUGUUCGUAGGCCUCAGAAUCACCUGGGGUCUGAUUAAGCACAGAUUGCUGGGUCCCACCCCCAGAGCCUCUGGUUCAGCUAGUCUAGGGAGGGGCCUGAGACUCUCCAUUUCUACCAAGUCCCCAGGUGAUGCUGGUGCUGCUGGUCGGGGACCACACUUAAAGCCUCUGGUUUAUAGCACUUACACAUUUAGCCGACUCUUCCCUUGAAGAUGGAGGACAUCUAAGGUCUGUGGCCUUAUGUAGGAUGAGGUCUAUAUAUUUUUUUGUCCCUAAAGACACCUCUUUUCUCCCUGCCCCACCCCAGGCCUGGAAAGUCAGAGUUAUGGUACGAGGCAGCCCAGCCAGAUGGUGGGUUCUCACUUUCCAAUCCCUGGCCGGAAGUAUGGAGGGGCCCUAGAGAAUACUUUUUUCUUUUCACCAGUGGUUUGUACUAGGAGACUUCUUAUUUGGGGGGACUGGAGCCAACUAGCAUUCCUGACCUUUCAUCCAGUCAAUUCUAUAAAUAUUCUUAAUUAAUCCUGAAAUAAGGCAUUUCAUCCAUUUAUGUAUCUAUCUGCCCAUCCAUCCAUCCAUCUAAAUAGUUUAUAAUCACCCUAGAAAAACUGAAGAAUAAACGCAAACAAAAAAUAAAUAACAUCCAAAAUCCCAAGAGCCCAAGAAAAUCACUUCUAAACUUUUCUGUAACUAUAGAAACACAUGUUACAAAAAUGGGGUCCUAUUGCUCUGAAACAUGCAUUACUAUCUACUGUGGACAUCUGUCCAUGUUAACAAAUAUGCAACCACACCAUCACUUUGAUUUUCACUUUAAAUUUAUAUAUUAUUGAUUAUAGAAGUAACAAUUUUCUAGUGUAAAAACUUUAGACAAUUCAGGAGUGUAGAAAAAAAUAGAAGUCCCAUUCUCCCAUACAAAACACUAUUUUCAAUAGCUGCAUAGUAUUUUAUUAUAUAGAAAACACCAUAAUUUAAGCAGUCCCCUGUGAACAUUAAGCCCACAAGUUGCUUCCUUUUUUGCUAUUAUAAAUAAUACUGUAUUUAAAAUUUUUGAAUGUAGAUACUUGCACCUUUCUAUGAUUAUUUCCUCAUUUUAAUGUCCUUGUGGUUAUAAGGGUAAUGUAUGUUCACACAAUUUAGAAAUAAUAAAAAUAGUUUUGUCUGAGGUACUUGUGACCAGCAGAUAGUUGAUUAACUGAAAAAGUUAGUAAAGCAAGGAAUCAUCAAAAAAGAGGAAUUUUAUGAAAGAUAAAGAUGACUCUAAUGUUAUUUAAGCUGUUCCAGGGUAUAGAAAGAGAAAAAAGUAUCCAAAUUAUUUUAUAUAGGCGACAUAACAUUGAUAAUAAUGUGCAACAAUUAUUGCGCAAGAAAACCAUAGAGUCAUCUCACUUACGACUAUUAAUGCAAUAAUCCAACAUAAAUGUUAGCAAAUAGACUUCAGUAACGCAUUAAAAGAAUAAUAACAUUAACAAUUAAGAAUUCCAGGAAUGCAAGGACUAUUUGAUAUUAGGAAAUUUAUCAUGAUAGGAGAAAAUUAAUAUCAUCUUUCCAGUAGGUACUAAGAAGGUAUUUGAUAAAAGAAAAACUAUCCAUUCCUUUUGAAGAAAAGAAAAACUAUAAAGAAGUAACAUUUUACAUGUCAAUUUGGCAAGUCUCAUAAGUUUGCUAACAAACUGUGUAGGUGAAAGUGAGAGAAAAAUAAACAUUAUUACACAUACUAAAUGGAGUGUGAAUUGGCACAAUGACUACGAAGGGGAAUUUGGCAAUAUUUAUCAAGAUUAUAGAUAUAAAUAUACUUCCACCCAGCAAUUCAUUUCUAGGAAUUUAGCCAACCAAUAGCUGAAACCGGUGUCCAGAUAGCCAUUAAUGAUGAUUCUUAAAAGUCAUGUAUAUAAGCAAUAUAUUAUCAGACUCCCACCAGGUUCCUUAUAGAUAACAUCUCUGAAGCUUGGGUCACCGUGGUAGCGGAUGAUUAAGUUGUUUUUCAGGAACUGAGAGUCAACACCUUGUCCAGUUCAGGCCAGUUGAGACCACCAACUCAUCAAUGGCACUGUGUGAAUGCCUGAUGGGUGGACUCUUUGACAUCAGGGAGCCAAAAACUCUACCCUCAGCUCAUGCUAAUGCCACCUUUGUGUGAACAUGUGUCCUCGGAAGAGCCAUGAAGCUUGACUACACCUGUGCCGAUCGUCUGUUACCUCACUUCACCUUCCCUCCAAUCAUCUAAGCUCACACUUCAGCCACCCUGCCACUUUGUACCAUAAAUAUCCCUAAUCCCCAUCUUCAGGGACGUGGAUCUGAGACUUGUUCUCUCCUCUCCUCGCUUGGCUGCCUUGUGAAUAAACUCUUUCUCCACUGUAAAAUUUGUCUCGGUGAUUAGCAUACUGUGCAGUGGGCAAAAUGAGCCUAGUUCAGCACCAUAGCUCUCCUAUGUGCAAAUGACAUAUGUGUGAAGUUAUUAAUUGUAGCAUUAUUUGAAAUUGCAAAAGAUUGGAAGCAAUCAAAAUGUCCAGCAAUACAAGUUUGGUUAAAUGAACUGUGUACAUUCAUACAAUGGAAAAAUAAUGCAGCUAUUUAAAAAAAUGUAACGACUUGGACUAUCUUCCAAGAUACAGUAUGGCAAGGUACAGAACCAUUUGUGUGAAAAAAGGAAGGAAACUAAUAUAAAUGUUUAUUUUUGCUUGUUUAUGCAUAAAAUAUUCUGAAAGGAUACCCAAGCAUCUUAGCUUGGUCUGUGAUAAAAUAUCAUAGUCUGGGGGGCUUAAAUAACAGAAAUUUAUUUUCUCACAGUUCUGGAGGCUGGAAGUCUGGGGUCAGGGUGUCAGCAUGUCAAGUUCUGGCGAGAGCUCUCUCUAUGGCUUGAAGAUGGCUGUCUUCUUGCUGUGUCCUCACAUGGUGGAGAGAGAGCAAACUUUCUGGUGUCUCUUCUUAUAAGCGCACUAAUCCCUAUAUGAGGGCCCCACCUUCAGGACCUCAUGGAAACUUAAUUACCUCCCAAGGGCUCCACCUCUAACUACUAUCACAUUGGAGGUUAGGGUUUCAACACAUGAUUUUUUCUGGUGGGGACACAAUUCAAUCUAUAAUACUAAGUAACUGAUAAUAGCAGUUGCCUCUGGGAACAGGGAGGGGAAAAAAAGAGGUAGGAGAUAUGGCUGUAAAGGUGAUUUUUCGCUGUUUGCUCUUUAUACCUCUGUAAUUUUCCAAUUUUCUAGCACCAACUGGGUGUUCAACAAUUCAAUUCCAACAUUGUCUACUUGGAGUUAGUGUCAUACGCCAUAAGUUAAGGGGCUCAGUCCCACAAGACUGUCCCCACUUCAGAUGCCGGUCACAAGUCCUGGGCCACCCAUACUUCUGACCAACCAGCUAUAAAUUGGGAGUUCCCUCGACCCCUUCCUCAGGUUUGAUAAUUUGCUGAAAUGGCUCACAGAACUCAGGAAAACAUUUACCUAUUUAUUAUAAAGGAUGCAAAUGAACAGUCAGAUGAAGGGGCACAUGGGUGAGGUCCAGAAGGGUUCUGAGUACAAAAACAUCUGUCCUUGUGGAGUUGGGGUGCACCACCCUCCCAGCACUCAGUUGU
This is a non-coding RNA of Equus caballus (horse), 7806 nucleotides long. NCBI's taxonomy places the organism in Eukaryota, Metazoa, Chordata, Mammalia, Perissodactyla, Equidae. The record is from RefSeq and is a predicted model, not a curated record.